RNAcentral lists this long non-coding RNA (4984 nucleotides) under Nicotiana benthamiana. Its description in RNAcentral is "long non-coding RNA (NBEN_LNC042547)". Lineage: Eukaryota; Viridiplantae; Streptophyta; Magnoliopsida; Solanales; Solanaceae. The record is from RNAcentral.
CUACUGAAGGUCAAACCCCUGAUGCAAUUAAUUCUUCUUCUUCCACUGCUGCUGUAUCAGUUGCAGCAGGUUCUACUACCUCUGGAGUAGUUGAUUCUGGUCACCCAUACUAUCUCCAUCCCUCAGAUUACCCAGGGAUGAACCUCGUUUCUUCAGACUUUGAUGGGAGAGGAUAUGGAGGUUGGAGAAGAGAUGUGGUCAUAACUCUUUCAGCUAAGAACAAACUAUGAUUCAUUGAUGGAUCCUUAGUUGUUCCUAGUGUUGAAUCUGGUCGACAAAGGGUCUGGGCUCGUUGUAAUGACAUGGUCCUUUCUUGGCUUCUCAACUCACUCUCUAAGGAAAUAGCAGAGAGUGUUUUGUACUCACAAAGUGCAAAGGAUCUUUGGAGUGACCUGGAAGACAGUUUUGGUCAGACAAAUGGAGCAAAAUUAUUUCAACUACAAAAGGAAUUAAGUGUUGUUGUGCAAGGAAAUUCCAGUUAUCAGGUUAUUUCUCAAAGAUGAAAAGCCUAUGGGAUGAACUAGAUGCACUAAACACUUUUUCUGCUUGUGUCUUUGAGUGUGAAUGUGGUGCUAAGACAAAGAAUUGUAAGGCUCAUCAAGAUGAAAGGUUGCUUUAGUUCUUAAUGGGUCUAAAUGACACCUUCAUAGGAGUAAGGAGAAAUAUCCUUCGGUCCUCUCCCCUUCCUUCGAUUGGACAAGCAUAUUCCUAGGUUAUCUAAGAUAAAAAACAUAGGAAAAUUCAUGCCGCACUUGCCUAUCCAGGAGAUGCUGCAUCUUUCAUUGCAGCUAGUCAUUCAGGAGAGGUAAAGAAAUACACUGAUUACAAGGGUCAGAAAGGAGGUUUUGAGGGAAAGAAGGUUUCCAGCAUAUGUAAUUACUGCAAGAAGCCAGGACACAACAUUGAAAACUGCUUUAGGAUUCAUGGUUUUCCUGCAGAUUUCAAGUUCUCGAAAUAGAAAAAAUUUCAAGGUACAACACAAGCAAGCAAUGUUUUCAUUUCAGGGCAAAGCAGUAAGCAAGGAACCAUGGAUGGUCCAGAUAUGCAUAUACUUACUAAGGAAAAUGUGGCUCAGCUAUUGCAGCUCCUUCAACAAGUCAACAUGGAAAAACAAAAUGCUUCUAUUCCUGAUGCAUGUGCAAGUGUGAAUGUGCUGGUAUACCUAAAUUCUUCAACUCAUAUGCUUGUUUUGUGCAAAUAGAUGAAAAAUCUUGGAUAAUGGAAAGUGGUGCAUCUGAGCACAUGACCUUCAACAAAGAAUUUCUUUGUGAUUUUAAACCUCUGCCUCAGCUUGUGAUGGUCACUCUGCCUAAUUCUCAUAGAGUAAAAGUAACACAUUCUGGUUCUGUUUCAAUUUUUCCUAACUUAGUAUUAUAGAAUGUGCUUUAUAUUCCUUCAUUUAAAUUUAAUCUAAUGUCUGUACAUAAGUUGUGCAAAUAUCUCAAACAAUAUGCACUUUUUACUCUUACAUCUUGUUGGCCCUUCAUUGAAGAGCUCUCUGGAGAUUGGCAAGGAGAAAGGAGGACUCUAUAUCAUCAAGCCAAAAGUUCCAGCACCUACUUCCAAGAGUUCUCUUAAGUCCAAUAGUUUUUCAGCUUCUAAAAUUAGGGCAGCAUGUGUUCCUAAGUUUAAUUCUUGUUUCAGUUUUUCCAAUUCAAAUGUAAAAGGCAGAUUAUGGCACUAUAGGUUAGGCCAUAUGCCAUUAAGCAGCAUGAGAAAUAUAUCAAGUAUUCAUGUUUCUUCUUGUUCAAAGUCUAUUGAUCCUUGCAUUGUCUGUCCAAUGGCAGCUCAAACAAUAUGUGCUUUUCACUCCUACUUCUCGUUUUCUACUGCAGGGCCCUUCACUGAAGAGCCCUCUGGAGAUUGGUAAGGAGAAAGGAGGACUCUACAUCAUCAAGCCAAAAGUUCCAGCACCUAGUUCCAAGAGUUUUCUUAAGUCAAAUAGUUUUUCAGUUUCCAAAUUAGGGCAGCAUGUGUUCCUAAGUUUAAUUGUUUUUGUUUUUCCAAUUCAAAUGUAAAAGGCAGAUUAUGGUACUAUUGGUUAGGCCAUAUUCCAUUAAGAAGUAUGAGAAAUAUAUCAAUUAUUCACGUUUUUCUUGUUCAAAGUCUACUGAUCCUUGCAUUAUCUGUCCAAUGGCAAGACAAUCAAAAUUACCUUAUCUCUCAAGUUCUAUUUCAACUAAAUCUAUGUUUGAAUUAAUUCAUGUGGAUACUUGGAGACCAUAUAAGAGCCCUACUUAUGAUGGUUUUAGAUACUUUCUUACUAUUGUAUAUGAUUUCAGUAGGGGAACCUGGGACCUAUUUACUUAGUGCUAAAUCAAAUGCCUUUCCUAUUUUGAAGUCUUUUCUAGCAAUGGUAGAAAGACAAUUUCACACAAAGGUUCAAAUCAUAAGAUCAGAUAAUGUUUUUGAGUUAGGAAGUGGAAAAACAUAUUCAGAGUUUCUUCUUUCCCAAGGUAUAAUUCAUCAAACCACUUGUGUAGCAACUCCACAACAAAAUGGAGUUGUGGUGAGGAAACACAAGCAUUAUUAGAAACAUCUAGGGCAUUACUUUUUCAGUCACAUUUACCAAUCACUUUCUAGGGAGAUUUUUUAUUGACAACAACUUAUCUAAUCGACAGAUAUCCUUCUAAAGUUAUCAACUACAAGACUCCCUAUGAGCUACUUUUCAAAAUCAAGCCAAAUUAUCACAACCUAAGGUGUUUUAGUUGCCUAUGUUUUACUUCCACUUUAUCAAAUCAUAGAACAAAGUUUGAACCAAGGGUAGUUUCUUGUGUGUUCCUACGUUAUCCACAUGGAAAGAAGGGUUAUAAGGUCUUGAAUCUAAAAACAAUAAAAUAUUUUGUCUCAAGGGAUGUAGUUUUUCAUGGAACGUUUUUUCCUUUUGCUUCUCUGAAAACAACUGAUGCAGGAAAUACUUUCUUUCCUUUUGGUAAUGAACAAUUUUCUAAGUCUGUCACCUCAUCUACUGAGUCUCCAAUACAUUCUACAUUACCUAUAAAUGUGCCCUCUUCUAUUGAUUCUGAUUCUGCUCCUUCAGAUUUUCCUAAAAAUUUAGAACAGUUUUCACCUUCACCUAUUCAUUCUACUGAUCAUAUCCUUAACUCUUCACACACUAUUUCUACAACUAGACUUCACAUGAGUACUGUUAAAUCACAAGUCCACAUUCUUGUUUGUUCACCUACUAAUCUUGAACCUAUGAUGGACCUUUUAAUUAGAAGGUCUUCUAGACCAUACAAUGCACCUUCUUAUUUGAAAGAUUACAUAUGUAAUGCUAUUCAACUUACUGAUGUUAGCACACAUUGUUUCCUCUCACCGUUUUACCAUCUUAUUUCCCUUUUCAUGGUCUUUCUACCACAAACCAAUAUUUUCUUAACUCGUUAUCUAAUAUUCAAGAACCUAGUAGCUAUCCACAGGCAACACUCCAUCCUGGUUGGCAGGAGGCUAUGGCAAAAGAAAUUGCAGCACUUGAGUUCAAUCAAACAUGGGAAGUUGUAGAACUACAUCCUGGAAGAAAGGCUUUGCCUUGUAAGUGGGUAUAAAAAGUGAAACAACACUCUGAUGGGAGUGUAUAAAGGUUGAAAGCAAGAUUGGUGAUUAGGGGUGACAUACAACAAGAAUGGGAUAGUUUCACAUAAACAUUUUCACCCGUGGUUAAAAUGACAACCAUCAUGCGUAUUCUUUCUAUAGCAGUCAAGAAAGGUUAGGGAAUUUAUUAAUUAGAUGUGAAAAAUGCCUUUUUACAUGGGAAUUUGAAUGAGGAAUUUUAUAUGAAGUUCCCAGCAAGUGAUAAACCCCCUUCACCUACACAUGUGUGUAGAGUAAAGAAAUCUAUUUAUGAGCUUCGUCAAGCAUCUAGACAAUGGUAUGCACGACUUACAAAAGCCCUGAAUUUCAAGGGAUUUUCUCACUCACAGAAUGAUUAUUCUCUGUUUUUCAAAAGGUCGAGAUAUUCUAUAUCUAUUGUGGCUGUCUACGUAGACGACAUUCUAUUAACAGGAAAUGAUAUCGAUAAAUUACAUGCUUUAAAGUCAUUUCUAUAUCACGAGUUCAAAAUUAAGGAUCUCGGAAACUUACAUUUUUUUCUUGGUAUGGAGAUUCUUCGUGAGGCAGCUGGUUUGUUUCUCUCUCAAAGAAAGUUCACUCUAGACUUGUUAGAAGAGUUUGAUGCUCUGUAUUACUCCCCUAUUUCUUCUCCUCUUGAUCCCACCGUCAAAUUGCUUGCCAAAAUAAGGGAGCUUCUUCCUUUUCCAACUCUAUAUCGAGAUCUUUUAGGUAAAUUAAACUACCUAACUCAUACCCGUUUAGAUCUUUCCUUUGCAGUCCAGCACUUGAGUCAAUACAUGCAAGAUUCAAGAAAGCCCCAUUUGAGUGCCGCUCGUCGAGUUCUCCGAUACUUGUUAAAAGACCCAGGUUUGGGGAUUUUUAUGAAAGCUUCUCCCUCGUUUCAACUCAUCACCUUUUGCGACUCAGAUUGGGGUACUUGUCUAGAAACUCGAAAUUCAGUGAGUGGUUUCUUUAUUUCACUUGGAGGAUCUCCAAUUUCAUGGAAGUCAAAAAAGCAGACCUCCAUAUCUCUCAGCUCAGCAAAAGCAUAAUAUCAUUAUAUGCGCCGUGUAGUGGCAGAAUUGAUUUGGUUAGUACGAUUUGUUGAAGAUCUGUCUAUACCCAUUUCUCUACCAGUACCCCUUCAUUCUGAUAGCAAAGCAGCGAUUCAUAUCGUGAAAAAUUUGGUCUUCCAUGAGCGAACUAAACACGUGGAAAUCGAUCAUCAUUUCGUGAGACGUCAAUUUCUAGUCGGCUUGAUUUCUCUUUCUUUCAUUCUUCUUCUCAGCUGACAGAUUUCUUCACUAAACUAUUAGCUAGCCCUUCUUAUCACAAUUUAUUGGGCAAGUUGGGGGUUCUUUCAUCCCCACCAACUUGAGGAGGGGUGUUGGAAAUGGUGGUGAUUUUCUCAAAGUUCCUACAAUGGCAGAUGGGGUAG